This 1295-nucleotide long non-coding RNA is filed under the name Anolis carolinensis (green anole). Its description in RNAcentral is "lncRNA (ENSACAG00000030421.2)". Lineage: Eukaryota; Metazoa; Chordata; Lepidosauria; Squamata; Anolidae. The record is from RNAcentral.
UCUAGUUGGGUCUAACAAAUUGAAUUGCAGUUUUUGUGAGUAUGCUAAAGCCACUCUGCAGAUGGACAACUCGGGUUAUUACACUUUCUGAGUAUGAGCAAUUUAUGUCAUUAAUGAAAUUUUUCCAAUAGACUACAGUGCCACAUUGAUUCUCUGGGAAAUACCAAAUUACUAGACCAAUAGGUGACAGACAACACAUGAAGUUUUAGAUUUUAAUUGUCGGUGAUUUUUUUUUAAAUAUCAAGGUAUUAAAAACCCUGGCCAUUCCCAGAGCUGGUGCAUCACAUUUCUUAUCUCUCUUUAUCCCAGUUAUCUGUUGAAUCUUGCUUGUUUCUGACUUCAGAAGUGUAUUACAAGCAUGAAGGUUUGAAUGAGAUUUCCUGCUGCCUGAUAUGUAGGGGGAGAAGAAGGAGAGGCUGAAUGAAUGAUAUGGGUUGAGGGAGGGAGAGAAAAGUGAGAAAGAAAAAAAGGGAAAAGGUGUCAUAUUGUUCAGUUUGUUGGGUUUUAUUUGAAUUCUAGCUAUGCCACCUGGUGGCUGUUUACACUUUUAAUUGCCCUGGUUCAAUUUCAUUUAACAAAAAAAGAGAGGUGUGUUUGUAACCUAUCACUUUAAUUACCUUGGCUUUGUCCUCAGGAAUCGUGGCAUUUAAAGUCUGGUGAGGUCCUUGGGAGAUACCAGCAGACCUUGAGCAGAGAGGAACUGAGGAUUAAAUCCGUCUAAUCUUUUGGAGACACCGUUUAGGAUUUCCUACAAGUUUCUGCAGGCCUGAAUGGAAUGACAAAGGAGAGAAAAGAGGAUAUUUAAAUCUUUCCCUAUACCUUUUCUCACUGAAUAACAGAAUAGGUCAAUGGAAUUGUUUUGAGCAGAAGACUACUGGAAAGAGAAAGGAUCAAACAACUUCUCCUUUCUCUGCUAUGCCUUCAUCAAAAUGCACCAGAUGGCUUCUGGUCAUUUAAAAAAAUAUGCACCCUGGACUUUGAGGGACCCAUUCCCCCAUCCAUCUGUUCAAAUUAUUUUAUUCUCAAAGUCUGUAUAAAGUUUUAAAUUUCAUCCAGACUGACAUAUUCCACUUUCCCACACACAUGCUGAACUGCAAACAGACUGAAGCAACUUUUCAGUGAGCAGUUGAAAUAGCAGUGAACAUUCUGUGCCAUCACAUCAGCUUAUCUGAUGAGUGUGCAAUAUUACAAAUGCAAUAUUAUCUAAAUGAUGUGACCAGGUCAAAAAUGUCAAUCUCUUCCUAGACCUCCAAUAUUUCUUUUUACAGAAAGCAAAUCCAAAGUGUGAUCUCCAU